RNAcentral lists this ribosomal RNA (253 nucleotides) under uncultured bacterium. RNAcentral describes it as "partial 16S ribosomal RNA". It matches the Rfam family "Bacterial small subunit ribosomal RNA", at positions 524 to 776 of the family's 1533-position model. The record is from RNAcentral.
UACGUAGGUGGCAAGCGUUGUCCGGAUUUACUGGGCGUAAAGAGCGCGCAGGCGGUCGUCCAAGUCGCGUGUGAAAGCCCCCGGCUCAACUGGGGAGGGUCACGCGAUACUGGUCGACUCGAAGGCAGGAGAGGGUAGUGGAAUUCCCGGUGUAGUGGUGAAAUGCGUAGAUAUCUGGAGGAACACCGGUGGCGAAGGCGACAUCCUGGACCGGUAUUGACGCUGAGGCGCGAAAGCCAGGGGAGCAAACGGG